Mauremys reevesii (Reeves's turtle) is the source of this 561-nucleotide long non-coding RNA. RefSeq lists it as uncharacterized. NCBI's taxonomy places the organism in Eukaryota, Metazoa, Chordata, Testudines, Geoemydidae. The transcript has 2 exons. The record is from RefSeq and is a predicted model, not a curated record.
AAGUGGAUCAGCAAUGAAGAACUGAACAGUGAUGUGUAGCUUCAUUCUUUUCUAACUCUAUUUGAUAUACAAAAGAAUCUCCAUGACUAUGCCUGCGCUGUUAUUGGCUUUAAUAAGGUGGUGACUGCAGUUUGUUCUGAAUCCUCACACAUCCACUAUAUCUGUAAGAAGGCAAUGGGAUAACUAUAAAUCCUCAAGAUGAGAAAAUUGCAGGCACAAGAACAUGCCUGGGUUAUCCAGAUGCCAACAAGGAUAUUUCUCUCUAUAAACAUCCUCAGCACAUGUACCCUCAUAUGCAUACAAACACAUACUCUUACGCAGGCACUCACAAACCUGUUUUCAUCUGAUCAUAAACAGCAAUGGCAUGAUCAUCAUGUCUGGUUGAACUACACACAGGACAAAUUCCAGACCUCUUUUCAUGUCACCACAGAGACCAACAGACAAACUUUCAGUGGGCAAGUGGUCUCUGAACAGAUGUUGAAAAAAAUGCAAAAAAUUAGUAAAACUAAAAUCUUCUUGUUAAAAAAAAUAUAAUAAACAAUAACAGUGAUUAACCUUUCA